GUCCUUGUGGUGUAGUGGUUAUCACGUCUGCUUUACACGCAGAAGAUCCCCGGUUCGAACCCGGGCAGGGACA
Molecule: transfer RNA, 73 nt
Organism: Ramazzottius varieornatus
Lineage: Eukaryota; Metazoa; Tardigrada; Eutardigrada; Parachela; Ramazzottiidae
Rfam family: tRNA
About the family: Transfer RNA (tRNA) molecules are approximately 80 nucleotides in length. Their secondary structure includes four short double-helical elements and three loops (D, anti-codon, and T loops). Further hydrogen bonds mediate the characteristic L-shaped molecular structure. tRNAs have two regions of fundamental functional importance: the anti-codon, which is responsible for specific mRNA codon recognition, and the 3' end, to which the tRNAs corresponding amino acid is attached (by aminoacyl-tRNA synthetases). tRNAs cope with the degeneracy of the genetic code in two manners: having more than one tRNA (with a specific anti-codon) for a particular amino acid; and 'wobble' base-pairing, i.e. permitting non-standard base-pairing at the 3rd anti-codon position.
Source: Rfam